Molecule: ribosomal RNA, 253 nt
Filed under: uncultured bacterium
Lineage: Bacteria
Description: partial 16S ribosomal RNA
Rfam family: Archaeal small subunit ribosomal RNA
Source: RNAcentral
UACCAGCACCCCGAGUGGUCGGGACGAUUAUUGGGCCUAAAGCAUCCGUAGCCGGUCCUGCAAGUCUUCCGUUAAAUCCAGCUGCUCAACAGAUGGGCUGCGGGAGAUACUACAGGGCUAGGAGGCGGGAGAGGCAAGCGGUACUUUAUGGGUAGGGGUAAAAUCCGCUGAUCCAUAGAAGACCACCAGUGGCGAAGGCGGCUUGCCAGAACGCGCUCGACGCUGAGGUGCGAAAGCGUGGGGAGCAAACAGG